CACGUCAGCGCGCUUUGCUGACGUGGCAACAAAUCGCGUCUUCGAGGGGGCGAUUUGUUGCCACGUCAACAACAAAUCACGCUGACGUGG
Gossypium raimondii (Peruvian cotton) is the source of this 90-nucleotide non-coding RNA. The record is from Rfam. Lineage: Eukaryota; Viridiplantae; Streptophyta; Magnoliopsida; Malvales; Malvaceae.